GUGCAGCAGUCGCGAAACCUCCGCAAUGCGGGAAACCGCGACGGGGUCAGCCGGAGUGCCGAUGCUUGCAUCGGCUGUCGGGGAGCCUAAAAAGCUCCCCAUAGCAAGGGCCGGGCAAGGCCGGUGGCAGCCGCCGCGGUAAUACCGGCGGCCCGAGUGGCGGUCACUAUUAUUGGGCUUAAAGCGUCCGUAGCCGGGUUGGGAAGUCCUCCGGGAAAUCUGGCCGCUUAACGGUCAGAAUGCCGGAGGAUACUCCCAGCCUAGGGAGCGGGAGAGGCCGAGGGUAUUCCCGGAGUAGGGGUGAAAUCCUAUAAUCCCGGGAGGACCACCUGUGGCGAAGGCGCUCGGCUGGAACGCGUCCGACGGUGAGGGACGAAGGCCAGGGGAGCAAACCGGAUUAGAUACCCUUGUAGUCC
Molecule: ribosomal RNA, 416 nt
Filed under: uncultured Archaeoglobus sp.
Lineage: Archaea; Methanobacteriati; Methanobacteriota; Archaeoglobi; Archaeoglobales; Archaeoglobaceae
Description: bacterial SSU rRNA
Rfam family: Archaeal small subunit ribosomal RNA
Source: RNAcentral